Benincasa hispida (wax gourd) is the source of this 795-nucleotide non-coding RNA. The record is from RefSeq and is a predicted model, not a curated record. Lineage: Eukaryota; Viridiplantae; Streptophyta; Magnoliopsida; Cucurbitales; Cucurbitaceae.
UCGCAGGUUACAGCAAGAGCUGCAAAACCCAUGGAUUUUCCUCUAGUGAAACGCAUUCCAACAGAUUGAAGCAACUUUUUCCCUCUUUUGACAAGGUUCGACACGCAUCCGGUCUUUAAGCUCAUACACUCCAUGUUUAGUUUUCGAUUUAUCUUUUAGGGUUGUUUCGUCCAUUCUUCCUUUUCCCCUUUCAUCUUCUUCUUGAAUUUUUGCAAUAACAACACAAUCAAAGACCUAUAAUGGAGUAAAAAGGGAGUUGAGUUUCAUAAAUCUUAGGUCUCAACUGCUAGUGGAAAUCCCAGGCUGAAAUCGAACUAGAGGCAUCAGAACUGCCAUAGCCACGAAGGCUUGGCACUACGAUGCAGUACCCAGGUGAUUUCAAGGCCAAAAUUUGAUGGCACCAUGGAUCUGUAGCUGGAGCUGGAGCUUAACGUGGGUUUGCCGAAUUGAUAUCUAGAAGUAUGAAACUGUCGGCAUAGACUUGGAAAAACUUUCAGAUUGACAAGAUUUUGUUGGUAUGACGAGAUUUAGCUGCAUGAUUAUUUUAGUUUAGUUGCGCUAUUGUUUUUGUUUUGUUCUUUUUUUUUUUUUUUUUUUUUUUUUUUUUAUGUAUCUAUAUGAUCCUCCAAGGUGAACCAACUUUCUAGAUCUUUAGACUUUAGAGCUUUAUGUAUAUAUUUGUCAAUAUAACUUGUUGAUAGGUUAGUUAAACAAUUUGUCACUUUCUUUGUUGUGAAUGAGUUAAUUUUUAUGUUCGUUUAAAAUUAAGUUGUAUAUAUAAUAGCAAUUAAGAUA